UACAGAGGGUGCGAGCGUUAAUCGGAAUUACUGGGCGUAAAGCGCACGUAGGCGGCUUGGUAUGUCGGGUGUGAAAUCCCCGGGCUCAACCUGGGAACUGCAUCCGAAACUGCCUUGCUCGAGUAUGGGAGAGGGAAGUGGAAUUUCCGGUGUAGCGGUGAAAUGCGUAGAUAUGCGGAGGAACACCGAUGGCGAAGGGCAAUCCCCUGGGCCUGCACUGACGCUCAUGCACGAAAGCGUGGGGAGCAAACAGG
Molecule: ribosomal RNA, 254 nt
Filed under: uncultured bacterium
Lineage: Bacteria
Description: partial 16S ribosomal RNA
Rfam family: Bacterial small subunit ribosomal RNA
Source: RNAcentral